This 73-nucleotide transfer RNA is filed under the name Camelus bactrianus (Bactrian camel). It matches the Rfam family "tRNA". From Rfam's summary of the family: Transfer RNA (tRNA) molecules are approximately 80 nucleotides in length. Lineage: Eukaryota; Metazoa; Chordata; Mammalia; Artiodactyla; Camelidae. RNAcentral also lists the same sequence under 1 other name. The record is from Rfam by way of RNAcentral.
GAAGGUAAAGCUCAAGUGGUAGAGUGCAUGCUUAGCAUGCAUGAGGUCCUGGGUUCAAUACCUAGUACCCCCU